RNAcentral lists this ribosomal RNA (451 nucleotides) under uncultured bacterium. Its description in RNAcentral is "bacterial SSU rRNA". It matches the Rfam family "Bacterial small subunit ribosomal RNA", at positions 354 to 796 of the family's 1533-position model. The record is from RNAcentral.
GUGGGGAAUAUUGCGCAAUGGGCGAAAGCCUGACGCAGCAACGCCGCGUGGGGGAUGAAGGUUCUCGGAUUGUAAACCCCUUUCGAUCGGAACGAAUCUCCUCCUGGUAAAUAAUCAGGAGGAUCGACGGUACCGGGAGAAGAAGCCACGGCUAACUCUGUGCCAGCAGCCGCGGUAAGACAGAGGUGGCGAGCGUUGUUCGGAUUUAUUGGGCGUAAAGCGAACGCAGGUGGUUUGGUAAGUCAGAGGUGAAAGUCCACAGCUUAACUGUGGCACUGCCUUUGAUACUGCCUUUCUAGAGUGCAUGAGGGGGAAGCGGAAUUCCGAGUGUAGAGGUGAAAUUCGUAGAUAUUCGGAGGAACACCGGUGGCGAAGGCGGCUUCCUGGCAUGUAACUGACACUCAUGUUCGAAAGCGUGGGUAGCAAACAGGAUUAGAAACCCGUGUAGUCC